UGCUAGUACCCUCUGUACGUACACACGCGC
This 30-nucleotide small RNA is filed under the name Bombyx mori (domestic silkworm). RNAcentral's name for it is "ovarian small RNA-34113". Lineage: Eukaryota; Metazoa; Arthropoda; Insecta; Lepidoptera; Bombycidae. The record is from RNAcentral.